UAGAAUAGCAAUAUUUGAGACCGGCGCACGGGUGCGUAACGCGUAUGCAAUCUACCUUUUACAGAGGGAUAGCCCAGAGAAAUUUGGAUUAAUACCUCAUAGUAUAGUGAGUUGGCAUCAACACACUAUUAAAGUCACAACGGUAAAAGAUGAGCAUGCGUCCCAUUAGCUAGUUGGUAAGGUAACGGCUUACCAAGGCAACGAUGGGUAGGGGUCCUGAGAGGGAGAUCCCCCACACUGGUACUGAGACACGGACCAGACUCCUACGGGAGGCAGCAGUGAGGAAUAUUGGUCAAUGGGCGCAAGCCUGAACCAGCCAUGCCGCGUGCAGGAUGACGGUCCUAUGGAUUGUAAACUGCUUUUGCACAGGAAGAAACACUCGGUCGUGAACCGAGCUUGACGGUACUGUGAGAAUAAGGAUCGGCUAACUCCGUGCCAGCAGCCGCGGUACGGAGGAUCCAAGCGUUAUCCGGAAUCAUUGGGUUUAAAGGGUCCGUAGGCGGCCAGAUAAGUCAGUGGUGAAAGCCCAUCGCUCAACGAUGGAACGGCCAUUGAUACUGUUUGGCUUGAAUUAUUUGGAAGUAACUAGAAUAUGUAGUGUAGCGGUGAAAUGCUUAGAGAUUACAUGGAAUACCAAUUGCGAAGGCAGGUUACUACAAAUUGAUUGACGCUGAUGGACGAAAGCGUGGGUAGCGAACAGGAUUAGAUACCCUGGUAGUCCACGCCGUAAACGAUGGAUACUAGCUGUUGGGAGCAAUCUCAGUGGCUAAGCGAAAGUGAUAAGUAUCCCACCUGGGGAGUACGUUCGCAAGAAUGAAACUCAAAGGAAUUGACGGGGGCCCGCACAAGCGGUGGAGCAUGUGGUUUAAUUCGAUGAUACGCGAGGAACCUUACCAAGGCUUAAAUGUAGAUUGACCGGUUUGGAAACAGACUUUUCGCAAGACAA
Molecule: ribosomal RNA, 946 nt
Filed under: Flavobacterium psychrophilum
Lineage: Bacteria; Pseudomonadati; Bacteroidota; Flavobacteriia; Flavobacteriales; Flavobacteriaceae
Description: bacterial SSU rRNA
Rfam family: Bacterial small subunit ribosomal RNA
Source: RNAcentral